CAUGUACAGAUCUGCUGUAAGGGCUGGAAACUUGGCAUUUUCAUACAGAGCCAAAAUUUGAUGUGCUCAAAGAAAACUUUAAGUUAGAAAUGUUACUCUGGUUUUUAUGAAUUUUCUAGCAGUUGAGGGAAUGGGUUCUUGUAAAUACAGUUACUCCUAGUUUUCUUCCUGAAAACCAUAUGUAAAAUAUAUAUAUGGUCUUCAAAUGGAAGGUUUUUUUGUUUUUUUUUAGCUGUGCCUCUGUGGGCUGAGUGACCGUGACCGCAAGGUGGCUCAUGGAGAACUGGUGGGUGUGCAACUGCUACUGGAAGAUGUUCUGAGUAGCUAUCAUGUGACCAUGGAGGCCCCCCAAAGACAGCAAGCCACACUGGGCAAAAAUACACAGCCAGAUUGGUCCAAAGUGCCAGGAUUCAGAAGUCAGUUCCGAAGCAGCCCAAAGACCUCUGAGCUGCUGGAGGGCCUGUGCGAUGCGGUGAUGUCCUUUGCUUUGCUGAGAUCAUUUCUGAUACUGUGGAAGC
This 518-nucleotide long non-coding RNA is filed under the name Homo sapiens (human). RNAcentral describes it as "novel transcript". Lineage: Eukaryota; Metazoa; Chordata; Mammalia; Primates; Hominidae. The record is from RNAcentral.